UACGGAGGGUGCAAGCGUUAUCCGGAUUCACUGGGUUUAAAGGGUACGUAGGCGGGCAGGUAAGUCCGUGGUGAAAUCUCUGAGCUUAACUCAGAAACUGCCAUGGAUACUAUUUGUCUUGAAUAUUGUGGAGGUAAGCGGAAUAUGUCAUGUAGCGGUGAAAUGCUUAGAUAUGACAUAGAACACCAAUUGCGAAGGCAGCUUACUACACAGUUAUUGACGCUGAGGCACGAAAGCGUGGGGAUCAAACAGG
Molecule: ribosomal RNA, 253 nt
Filed under: uncultured bacterium
Lineage: Bacteria
Description: partial 16S ribosomal RNA
Rfam family: Bacterial small subunit ribosomal RNA
Source: RNAcentral